CAUUUUUUGAUAGCAACAGUUUUCUUUUCUUGACCAUCGUUAAAAGGAAAAUUCCAAUCAGGUAUAGUCCGAGAAACCAGAAAAAGUAAACAAGAUGGGUAAAAUCGAAUUGUUAUAUUUUUUUCGCAAAAUUCUAGCAAAUAAUGAAUAUUAUUCGCCACAAUUUUAAUUUUUUCGCAUCAUGCGAAAAUGGACCGCCAGCGGAAACCCUGC
This 213-nucleotide long non-coding RNA is filed under the name Mytilus galloprovincialis (Mediterranean mussel). The record is from RNAcentral. Lineage: Eukaryota; Metazoa; Mollusca; Bivalvia; Mytilida; Mytilidae.